AGCUUGAACGCUGGCGGCGUGGCUAAGACAUGCAAGUCGAACGGGUGUAGCAAUACACCAGUGGCGGACGGGUGAGUAAUGUAUCGCUAACGUGCCCUAGAGCUUGGGAUAGCCGGGAGAAAUUCCGGGUAAUACCAGAUGAAAUAUCCUUGUCGCAUGGCGAGGAUCUCAAAGCAGUAAUGCACUCUUGGGAGCGGGGCAGUACUACGGUACUCCAAGUCGUAGUUGGUGAGGUAACGGCUCACCAAGGCGACGACGCGUAGCCGGACUGAGAGGUUGGCCGGCCACAUUGGGACUGAGACACUGCCCAGACUCCUACGGGGGGCUGCAGUAACGAAUCUUCCGCAAUGCACGAAAGUGUGACGGAGCGACGCCGCGUGUGGGAUGAAGUUCUUAGGAUUGUAAAAUUCUUUCAGCGGGGAAGAUAAUGACUGUACCCGCAGAAGAAGCUCCGGCUAACUUCGUGCCAGCAGCCGCGGU
RNAcentral lists this ribosomal RNA (480 nucleotides) under uncultured bacterium. RNAcentral describes it as "SSU rRNA". It matches the Rfam family "Bacterial small subunit ribosomal RNA", at positions 26 to 521 of the family's 1533-position model. The record is from RNAcentral.